GAUGAACGCUAGCGGCAGGCCUAACACAUGCAAGUCGAGGGGCAUCGCGGUGCAGCAAUGCACUGGCGGCGACCGGCGUACGGGUGCGUAACGCGUAUGCAACCUGCCCCGCACCGGGGGAUAGCCCGCCGAAAGGCGGAUUAAUACCCCAUGGCCCCGGGGGCCCGCAUGGGCAUCCGGGUAAAGCCUUGGCGGUGCGGGAUGGGCAUGCGUGCCAUUAGCUGGCUGGUGGGGUAACGGCCCACCAGGGCAACGAUGGCUAGGGGGUCUGAGAGGAUGGUCCCCCACACUGGUACUGAGACACGGACCAGACUCCUACGGGAGGCAGCAGUGAGGAAUAUUGGUCAAUGGGCGGGAGCCUGAACCAGCCAUGCCGCGUGCGGGAUGAAGGCCCUACGGGUUGUAAACCGCUUUUCCCCGGGAAGAAUAAGCCCCCCGCGGGGGUGAGUGCCGGUACCGGGGGAAUAAGGAUCGGCUAACUCCGUG
This 486-nucleotide ribosomal RNA is filed under the name uncultured bacterium. RNAcentral's name for it is "bacterial SSU rRNA". It matches the Rfam family "Bacterial small subunit ribosomal RNA", at positions 28 to 507 of the family's 1533-position model. The record is from RNAcentral.